GACGAACGCUGGCGGCGUGCCUAAUACAUGCAAGUUGAGCGAUGAAGAUUGGUGCUUGCACCAAUUUGAAGAGCAGCGAACGGGUGAGUAACGCGUGGGGAAUCUGCCCUUGAGCGGGGGACAACAUUUGGAAACGAAUGCUAAUACCGCAUAACAACUUUAAACAUAAGUUUUAAGUUUGAAAGAUGCAAUUGCAUCACUCAAAGAUGAUCCCGCGUUGUAUUAGCUAGUUGGUGAGGUAAAGGCUCACCAAGGCGAUGAUACAUAGCCGACCUGAGAGGGUGAUCGGCCACAUUGGGACUGAGACACGGCCCAAACUCCUACGGGAGGCAGCAGUAGGGAAUCUUCGGCAAUGGACGAAAGUCUGACCGAGCAACGCCGCGUGAGUGAAGAAGGGUUUCGGAUCGUAAAACUCUGUUGGUAGAGAAGAACGUUGGUGAGAGUGGAAAGCUCAUCAAGUGACGGUAACUACCCAGAAAGGGACGGCUAACUACGUG
Molecule: ribosomal RNA, 497 nt
Filed under: uncultured bacterium
Lineage: Bacteria
Description: partial 16S ribosomal RNA
Rfam family: Bacterial small subunit ribosomal RNA
Source: RNAcentral